This is a small nuclear RNA of Phacochoerus africanus (Common warthog), 107 nucleotides long. NCBI's taxonomy places the organism in Eukaryota, Metazoa, Chordata, Mammalia, Artiodactyla, Suidae. The record is from RefSeq and is a predicted model, not a curated record.
GCGCUUACGUUGGCAGUACAUAUACUAAAACUGGAAGAAUACAGAGAAGAUUAGCAUGGCCUCUGGGCAAGGAUUACACACAAAUUUGUGAAGUGUUUCAUGUUUUU